UUAUCAUAUGUACCUAUCCUUUCCCUCUUGUCAAUUCUAUCAAUUAUUCUCUAACAAGGACAUGACCUUUGGCAUUUCCUCUUUAGAAUUUACAUAGUUCUCGAGUUUCAUUUCACGUCUAUUUCCUCUGCUAGCAUUUUAUUAUUUUAUUUGAAAUGCUAAACUGCUUAUGCAAUUGGUCAAUUGAAUUUGAUUGUUUUAACGGUCUCACAUCGAAAACAGGCUGACUUGCUUUUGCAUAAGAUGUUAAGGCUUAUGUUGAGUCUUGUGAAAUUAUGCUCUUAUUAUGUCUUAACUUAAAAUUAAAUCUUUGCAAAAAGAUGAAAUUUGGAGAUUUUGUUGUUGGCAUUGGGACUGGGAGGAAGCUUCAGACAAUCAGUGUUGAUAUAUGUAGCUAAAUCCUAAACAUACUAUUCUGAAGAUGUUCUUUCUGUGUAAUCUGGUUAGUUGUGGUGUCUAAACUAAUCAGCCGUCUACUAUUUAAGAUGCCUAGUGCAGCAUUUGUGUAUGGUCCAAUGGUGCUUCAAAGCCAAAGAUGGCUUAUAUAUGUAUGUCAGGCACUUACCUCUUGACAAAGUAAAAAGAUAUUAAUGGAAAUAUAGCAGUGGUGUUCAUAAGUCUCUGUCGUGUCAUCCAUUUUAUUUUUAUUAUUUCCUACUGUUGUGAAAACCCGUUUGUUCUUUUGGGUCGAAUCUUAAUCAGAGGAGCAGGUUAACAUUACUAUCUGCUGUAAGUAAUGCAGUAUGUAGCAGCUAGUCCGUGUGAUCAUCAUAUCUUCUUAAAGCAAACUAAAGGAAGAAGAAAUUUAUAAAAUCUAAGUGGUCAUCUGUCUUGUUGAAGCAAAACGGAAAAAUAAACUUGAAAUGAGUACUAUUACAGUACACUUGAGAAAGAAAAAAGAAUUACAGUAGAAGACAAGCUGGUCUAGCCUCUUAAUAUAGGUUGAAUGUUCCAUGAAUAGGAUAAGCAUGUGUUAUUAACCAAGAACAGCUAUUACUGUUUCGUGUCAUGAUAACCAUAAUUCAUACUUCCUCAUUGCUGUAAUACUGCCCUCUUACCCAAGUUACAUCCAUAGGGCUGUAAUGGAUUUUGCCUAUAAAUCAUAAGGAUUUUGUCUUACUUUUUAAGGAAGUUUUAUCACCUAGUGCAGGAUUAACACCUAGUCUUUGCCUUCAUCUACAAAAUUGUCAAUAGAGCCCACAUGUUUUUUCAAGUUUCCCAGGGGGAACAGGGGGAACUGACUGUGGCGCUAUGGUAGGCUCAACUUUGAUAUGGGCAAAAUAAGCUUCUCAUUCAUUAAACUGUUAAUACCAGAAAACACCAGUCUGUAGUCUUAUUAAGGAAUUAAAAGAAUGGGCCAGAAAGGAUAUUAAUAGUAAAUAGUGAGAAAUGACAUUUCAGUUCAUCUUGUUUAAAUCUUGUGUCAUGGUUUCAUAAUCUUGUAAUAGAAUGAACAAGUUAUUGAGAUAACUGCAUCCACCAUUCUUGGUGAUUAAUCAACAGGCAUUCCGCAGAGAUGCUGUGCCAACUAAUUAAUAUCUGACAAAACAUAAAAGAGAAUUGCAAUGGGGAAGAGGAAAUUAUGAAUAAGCAGAUUCACAUGGUUUAGUGUUAGUCUACUUCAACUAAAUUGAUUGUUUUUGCUCCUUUAUUCUCUAAUCUAACCACUUCUUUUCUGUCCAUUACCACAAGAAUUAGUUUUACAUGGAAAAUUCUGAAUGAACAUGCAGUAAUAUUAUUAGAAAUAAUACCUAUACAUGUAUAUAUAAAGCUAUAACCUUUUUCUUAUUAGUAUGUUUGCGUGCUUAUCCACAUGCGUGCAUAAGCUUGUGCGUGAAAUUGGCUUUGGUUGUUUUGAUUCACCUCCAAUCCUUGGUGCGGUCAAGGAAGAACAUAUGUCAUCCUGUGAAGUCUCAUUCUCUCCUGGAAUAACAACUUUAACCUUGUCCUUUCUACACAAAGUGAAAUGAGA
This 1972-nucleotide long non-coding RNA is filed under the name Nicotiana benthamiana. Its description in RNAcentral is "long non-coding RNA (NBEN_LNC019333)". The record is from RNAcentral. Lineage: Eukaryota; Viridiplantae; Streptophyta; Magnoliopsida; Solanales; Solanaceae.